Molecule: unclassified non-coding RNA, 343 nt
Filed under: soil metagenome
Description: partial contains 5.8S ribosomal RNA, internal transcribed spacer 2, and large subunit ribosomal RNA
Rfam family: 5.8S ribosomal RNA (bases 1-120)
Source: RNAcentral
GAUGAAGAACGUAGCGAAACGCGAUAAGUAAUGUGAAUUGCAGAAUCCAGUGAAUCAUCGAAUCUUUGAACGCACAUUGCGCCCGCCAGCAUUCUGGCGGGCAUGCCUGUUCGAGCGUCAUUUCAACCCUCGACCUCCCCUUGGGGCGGUCGGCGUUGGGGACCGGCAGCACACCGCCGGCCCUGAAAUGGAGUGGCGGCCCGUCCGCGGCGACCUCUGCGCAGUAAUACAGCUCGCACCGGGACCCCGACGCGGCCACGCCGUAAAACACCCAACUUCUGAACGUUGACCUCGAAUCAGGUAGGACUACCCGCUGAACUUAAGCAUAUCAAUAAGCGGAGGA